Non-coding RNA from Ceratotherium simum simum (southern white rhinoceros), 97 nucleotides. The record is from RefSeq and is a predicted model, not a curated record. Lineage: Eukaryota; Metazoa; Chordata; Mammalia; Perissodactyla; Rhinocerotidae.
AUUCUUUAUAAUACCUUUAUUGAGAUAUAACUCACAUACCAUACAAUUCACCUAUUUAAAGUGUCCAAUUCAGUGAGUUUUAGUAUAUUUGUACAGU